ACCCUUUCAAAGUCACACCUGGAGAAUUUCCAGUACUCUCCCAGCCUCGACUACAGGAGGGAAAGUCAAGCAGAGGCAUAUCCGUUCCAUUCCUAGCUUGGGCAGUGGCUAGUGAGUGGAAGGCAAUCUGUUACAAGA
This 138-nucleotide small nucleolar RNA is filed under the name Ornithorhynchus anatinus (platypus). The record is from RNAcentral. Lineage: Eukaryota; Metazoa; Chordata; Mammalia; Monotremata; Ornithorhynchidae.